Molecule: long non-coding RNA, 790 nt
Organism: Aedes aegypti (yellow fever mosquito)
Lineage: Eukaryota; Metazoa; Arthropoda; Insecta; Diptera; Culicidae
Exons: 2
Source: RefSeq, a predicted model, not a curated record
UUAUCAUAAUGAUCUUUUAUCUACAUUCGUCGAACCAUUCUGAAUGGCCGUUGUGAGAAUAUCAUCAAGAACUUCUCACAUGCAAUAAAGCUGGAUUGUCCUACAUUGAAACAUUAAGUUUUUUGCUCUAUCGGAUAAAUUUUAUGUGGUUCAUAAUCAGUUUCAGGGAUUGUUAUCGUGGGAAUCCAAAGAGCGAAUUUUGUAUGACUUCAGUUUAGGCCAAUACUGCAAUAAAGCAUGUUACAAUCACUAACAUUUCUUCUCUCCCUAUCCUUGUUUUCAUAUUUAACCCGCCACUACCACGAGCAACAAUGCAAUGUAAACAGCGUAAUGGUCGAGGAAACGCGGAUACGGGAACGAUCGUCGGAACCAACGGACCAACGAAGGAUUGCAGCAACCUCCAGCUAAAUGAGAGAAGUAUCCAAUAUAACAGUCUAAUUUGGUUCAGACUUAAAAACUAUUUACACCCUGACAGAACUGCCUAUCUCAAAAAUAGGUAGAAGGGCGGGACGAUGGUGCGAGCCUACCCACUCUGUCAUCGGUGGGCGUCGGGCGUGCUAACUGGUAUAGCAUGGCCUAUGGGGCUCUGCCUGCACAAAUCAUGUUUUCUUUCUCUUUCACUUUUUUGUGAAUUGCUAACAACAAUGCCAUUGAAGUUAAUCCAAUACAAGAAUGCAGUGCAGAACCUCAUAACGCCUUUUUCGGUAAACGUAUUUCCCAGCGUGGGGUUUAUAGGGAUGUUUGUGUAAACAACGCAGAUUGGCCAUGGCUAGGGGGUGCGUUGAUAUUA